RNAcentral lists this long non-coding RNA (361 nucleotides) under Physcomitrium patens. RNAcentral's name for it is "long non-coding RNA (PPAT_LNC013909)". The record is from RNAcentral. Lineage: Eukaryota; Viridiplantae; Streptophyta; Bryopsida; Funariales; Funariaceae.
ACAACCCAAACAGUUAAUCUUCAAUACCGCUUUGUACUUACGAUCUUGUAUCCACUGACUGUCUCGUUACAUUAAUCCAACAAAUUUCAUUCACUCCGCAUACUCAAUCCUAUAGACACCCUUUUAAUUCUUCAAUCACAGACGUAACUCGAUUUCACAAAACAGUCAAGAGUAAUCAAAUCCACUUCAUUAAAAAAUCUCGAUUCACCAUUACAACACUGACUUCAGCAACGAUUGCCUCAGUCUUCCCAAAACCCUAUGAAAAAAAAUCCAAUUCCCUGUCUUCUUUCCCUACCCGAAGCAUGAAGCUAGCUCUCUCCGAUCCCUCUCAAAUACUUCCCUCCCCAAAAACUAUCCUCCC